UGGCACUCUUCUUUGUUGUGUCUCGCAGC
RNAcentral lists this non-coding RNA (29 nucleotides) under Rattus norvegicus (Norway rat). Lineage: Eukaryota; Metazoa; Chordata; Mammalia; Rodentia; Muridae. The record is from RNAcentral.